GUGCCAGACUCCUACGGGAGGCAGCAGUGGGGGAUAUUGCACAAUGGGGGAAACCCUGAUGCAGCGACGCCGCGUGUGGGAAGACGGUCUUCUGGAUUGUAAACAACUGUCCCCAGGGACGAAAAUGACGGUACCUGGGGAGGAAGCUCCGGCUAACUACGUGCCAGCAGCCGCGGUAAUACGUAGGGGGCAAGCGUUAUCCGGAUUUACUGGGUGUAAAGGGAGCGUAGACGGAUGGAUAAGUCUGAAGUGAAAGCCCGCGGCUCAACUGCGGGACUGCUUUGGAAACUGUGCAUCUUGAGUACGGGAGGGGCAGGCGGAAUUCCUGGUGUAGCGGUGAAAUGCGUAGAUAUCGGGAGGAACACCGGUGGCGAAGGCGGCCUGCUGGACUGCGACUGACGUUGAGGCCCGAAAGCGUGGGGAGCAAACAGGAUUAGAUACCCGCGUAAU
RNAcentral lists this ribosomal RNA (450 nucleotides) under uncultured bacterium. Its description in RNAcentral is "bacterial SSU rRNA". It matches the Rfam family "Bacterial small subunit ribosomal RNA", at positions 328 to 794 of the family's 1533-position model. The record is from RNAcentral.